This is a long non-coding RNA of Lycium barbarum (goji berry), 439 nucleotides long. RefSeq lists it as uncharacterized. The record is from RefSeq and is a predicted model, not a curated record. Lineage: Eukaryota; Viridiplantae; Streptophyta; Magnoliopsida; Solanales; Solanaceae. The transcript is spliced from 2 exons.
AGAACUCCCUACUUGUAUUUUCUGCUCUUUGGUUUUUUUUUUCCUAUCAAUUUAUUUCUAUUUCUCCAAUUGACGGUCAUUACCAUUUGACCAAAAAAAAAAAGAAACUCCCCUCUCUUGUCACUUUAUUAGUCUCUUUGUAGGAGGUGCAUAUUUGUUCGGGUACAAUGAGCAAUUUUUCCACAGGAUUUGCCAAUUGUUCUUUUAAUAAGGAGGUACAUGAAGAUGCAAAAAGUGUUUUAAGAGUGAAGUUUAUAGGUUACAGACGUUGCAUUAGCACAUGAGGAAACAAAAUACUUUGUCUUUUUCAAUUUAGCAUUAUUCAUGUAUUUCAAUUAGACUUUUUAUGAUUGAAUUAUUUCACUUUAUUUACUCAAUGUUUGGACCCAUAUGUUAUCUCAUAAUAAUUAUAGAUGUAACUAGUAGUUGAUUUUGUAUG